CCAAUAGCGUAUAUUAAAGUUGUUGCAGUUAAAAAGCUCGUAGUUGAAUUUCGGGGUUAGUAGAUUGGUCAUGCCUCUGGUAUGCACUGGUCUCACUGAUUCCUCCUUCCUGAUGAGCCGUAAUGCCAUUAAUUUGGUGUUGCGGGGAAUUUGGACUGUUACUUUGAAAAAAUUAGAGUGUUUAAAGCAAGCUAACGCUUGAAUACAUUAGCAUGGAAUAAUGAAAUAGGACGUUCGAUCCUAUUUUGUUGGUUUCUAGGAUUGACGUAAUGAUUAAUAGGGAUAGUUGGGGGCAUUAGUAUUCAAUUGUCAGAGGUGAAAUUCUUGGAUUUAUUGAAGACUAACUACUGCGAAAGCAUUUGCCAAGGAUGUUUUCAUUAAUCAAGAACGAAAGUUAGGGGAUCGAAGACGAUCAGAUACCGUCGUAGUCUUAACCAUAAACUAUGCCGACUAGGGAUCGGAUGAUGUUAAUUUUUUAAUGACUCAUUCGGCGCCUUACG
RNAcentral lists this non-coding RNA (500 nucleotides) under uncultured Glomus. Its description in RNAcentral is "SSU rRNA". It matches the Rfam family "Eukaryotic small subunit ribosomal RNA", at positions 591 to 1092 of the family's 1831-position model. Lineage: Eukaryota; Fungi; Glomeromycota; Glomeromycetes; Glomerales; Glomeraceae. RNAcentral also lists the same sequence under 1 other name. The record is from RNAcentral.